UUGGUUGAUUUGAUUGAAGUUGAUCAUUAUUUUUCUAAUAAAUGCUAGAGGAUUUAGGACUGAUUGGAAAGUUUGGAUGUUAGUGCGCUGUGCUAGUCAGUGGUGGGAACCUCUACUUUAUGUCAUUGUCACUGCUAGGGUCGUUUGGAAAUUCUCGUGUCUGUGCAUGUAAAAUGAAACAUUUGGAUUCUAGUGUUGAAUUGUGAAUCUUCUGAUUGUACCUUAAAUAAUUCAGUUGGUAAGGACUGAAGAGUCAUUGUCUCGGAGUGUAGUUUGGUCGCC
This 282-nucleotide long non-coding RNA is filed under the name Hordeum vulgare. RNAcentral describes it as "long non-coding RNA (HVUL_LNC020026)". Lineage: Eukaryota; Viridiplantae; Streptophyta; Magnoliopsida; Poales; Poaceae. The record is from RNAcentral.